This 431-nucleotide unclassified non-coding RNA is filed under the name soil metagenome. RNAcentral's name for it is "partial contains 5.8S ribosomal RNA, internal transcribed spacer 2, and large subunit ribosomal RNA". The stretch from base 1 to 120 matches the Rfam family "5.8S ribosomal RNA", at positions 35 to 154 of the family's 154-position model. The record is from RNAcentral.
GAUGAAGAACGCAGCGAAAUGCGAUACGUAAUGUGAAUUGCAGAAUUCAGUGAGUCAUCGAAUCUUUGAACGCAUAUUGCGCUCUCUGGUAUUCCGGAGAGCAUGCUUGUUUGAGUAUCAGUAAACACCUCAACUCCCCUUUCUUUUUUGAAAUGGGAGCUGGACUUGAGUGAUCCCAACGCUUUUCUCACCGAAAAGUGGCGGGUUACUUGAAAUGCAGGUGCAGCUGGACUUUUCUCUGAGCUAAAAGCAUAUCUAUUUAGUCUGCCUAAAAACAGAUUAUUACCUUUGCUGCAGCUAACAUAAAGGAGAUUAGUUCUUGUGCUGACUGAUGCAGGAUUCACAGAGACAGCUUCGGCUGGCCUUUGUAAACUCGAUCUCAAAUCAAGUAAGACUACCCGCUGAACUUAAGCAUAUCAAUAAGCGGAGGA